GCAAAAAUAGCUCAAUGGUAGAGUAUAACCUUGCCAAGGUUAAUGUUGAGGGUUCAAGUCCCUUUUUUUGCU
Molecule: transfer RNA, 72 nt
Filed under: Hyaloperonospora arabidopsidis
Lineage: Eukaryota; Oomycota; Peronosporomycetes; Peronosporales; Peronosporaceae
Description: tRNA-Gly
Rfam family: tRNA
About the family: Transfer RNA (tRNA) molecules are approximately 80 nucleotides in length. Their secondary structure includes four short double-helical elements and three loops (D, anti-codon, and T loops). Further hydrogen bonds mediate the characteristic L-shaped molecular structure. tRNAs have two regions of fundamental functional importance: the anti-codon, which is responsible for specific mRNA codon recognition, and the 3' end, to which the tRNAs corresponding amino acid is attached (by aminoacyl-tRNA synthetases). tRNAs cope with the degeneracy of the genetic code in two manners: having more than one tRNA (with a specific anti-codon) for a particular amino acid; and 'wobble' base-pairing, i.e. permitting non-standard base-pairing at the 3rd anti-codon position.
Source: RNAcentral